GAUGAACGCUGGCGGCGUGCCUAAUACAUGCAAGUCGAGCGAACGGACGAGAAGCUUGCUUUUCUGAUGUUAGCGGCGGACGGGUGAGUAACACGUGGAUAACCUACCUAUAAGACUGGGAUAACUUCGGGAAACCGGAGCUAAUACCGGAUAAUAUUUUGAACCGCAUGGUUCAAAAGUGAAAGACGGUCUUGCUGUCACUUAUAGAUGGAUCCGCGCUGCAUUAGCUAGUUGGUAAGGUAACGGCUUACCAAGGCAACGAUGCAUAGCCGACCUGAGAGGGUGAUCGGCCACACUGGAACUGAGACACGGUCCAGACUCCUGCGGGAGGCAGCAGUAGGGAAUCUUGCGCAAUGGGCGAAAGCCUGACGGAGCAACGCCGCGUGAGUGAUGAAGGUCUUCUGAUCGUAAAACUCUGUUAUUAGGGAAGAACAUAUGUGUAAGUAACUGUGCACAUCUUGACGGUACCUAAUCAGAAAGCCACGGCUAACUACGUG
RNAcentral lists this ribosomal RNA (497 nucleotides) under uncultured bacterium. RNAcentral's name for it is "partial 16S ribosomal RNA". It matches the Rfam family "Bacterial small subunit ribosomal RNA", at positions 28 to 507 of the family's 1533-position model. The record is from RNAcentral.